UUAAUUUCAGAAAAGGUCUAAGAAUUACAUACACAUUAUAAUAUCAUUUGAAAUGCUUUUAAAAUAAUUGCUAUUUUUGUUGUUCAAAAUUGUACACAUAAAAGUAAAAAAAAAAAAGAAUAAUAUUCUCUUUUCCUGUGAAAGACUGCAUUUCCCCCAAGGCUAAUGUAAAUAGACAUCAUCACUGCAGAUACUGAGAAUAAAAUAUCAUAGUUGUCUUUAGAAACACAAUUUAUAGUUUACAAUAUUUAGUAACUUUUCAAUUGAUUUUAAAAUGAGAUUGGCUUCAUCUAUCAUGUUAUUAAUGAACAGAACUCACUUAUUUCUUAAAUUUGUUUUAUUAGUUUCUUGCUUUGCUCAUAUUGAACUAUCCAAAGGCAUUAAUAAUACUAACCUGAAAA
Molecule: long non-coding RNA, 401 nt
Filed under: Bos taurus (domestic cattle)
Lineage: Eukaryota; Metazoa; Chordata; Mammalia; Artiodactyla; Bovidae
Description: long non-coding RNA NONBTAT012624
Source: RNAcentral